RNAcentral lists this ribosomal RNA (1253 nucleotides) under Tonoscolex birmanicus. Its description in RNAcentral is "16S ribosomal RNA". The stretch from base 789 to 1155 matches the Rfam family "Bacterial large subunit ribosomal RNA", at positions 2049 to 2651 of the family's 2925-position model. The record is from RNAcentral. Lineage: Eukaryota; Metazoa; Annelida; Clitellata; Crassiclitellata; Megascolecidae.
AAACCAACAACAAUCUUACAAACAAAAUAUAAUAAAAACAACUAAACGCCCAUAAAAUAAAGUACAGAAAUGGAAAACACAAUUUAUUAUAGUAAGAAUUACCAACUAUACCUCGUGCAUUAUGGUUUUACAAGAAAGUUGUUAACAAACACAAAACCCGAAUUCUUAAAUGAGAUGUUAGGUCACUGUUCAGAACUAAUUAGUAGCUGUGGCAUUAGCUUUAACAGAUGAUUUAACAGAGGCUACAUACCAACCGCAUAAGAAUAUAGCUGGUUCUCAAUAAACAUUAUAUAUUAAAGCAUGUAAAUAAAUUACAGUGUUAUAUUACUGAGGAUAAGCCCAAUAAUAAGAAGCAAUAUAUAUAACCACUCCCAUAAUACCCAUAGGCCUAAAACCAGCCAACAAUAAUACUUUACCGUAAUAAAUAAAGAGAAAAUCUAUAAAUGUAGAUGCUACAGAUAAUUGAGAUAAAGCUCCAACCAAAUAAGCUAUUUAUACUAUGUAAAAAUAAGUAUUACUAAACAAAUAAUCAAACAAGUAAAAAACACUAAAUAUGUAACCCAUAAAAAUUAAUUAAGGAACUAGGCAAAAACUUAUUUCGACUGUUUAACAAAAACAUUGCUCCACGCUUCCAUAUGUGGAGUAACUCCUGCCCAGUGAUAACAUUCAACGGCCGCGGUAUCCUAACCGUGCAAAGGUAGCAUAAUCACUUGCCUAUUAAUUGUAGGCUAGAAUGAACGGAUAAACGAAAUAAACACUGUCUCAAUUAAUUACCUAAAAAUUAUUCUCUAUUUGAAGAAAGAUAGAUAUAUUCAAAGGACAAGAAGACCCUAUAGAGCUUUAUUUAAUCCAUAAACACACACUAUGAAAAAAUUCGGUUGGGGCGACCUAGGGACCACCUAUCUCCCUAAAGAAGAAUAGAUAUAUUAAUCCAAUUAAUGACCCUAAUAAGAUCACAAAAUCAAGCUACCUUAGGGAUAACAGGCUAAUCCUAUUCUAGAGUCCAUAUCAACAAUAGGGUUUGGCACCUCGAUGUUGGCUUAGGGAAUCAAUAUAGCGCAAAAGUUAUAGAAUGAAGGUUUGUUCAACCUAUAAGUCCCUACAUGAGCUGAGUUCAGACCGGCGUAAGCCAGGUUAGCUUCUAUCCUUGAACACAAAUUCUCCUCCUAGUACGAAAGGACCUGAGUGAGAGCAACAAUUGCAAAACAAAAAGACAUACAAAUAAAAAUUAAUUAAUAUAAGUAAAAACUAUA